Molecule: long non-coding RNA, 1465 nt
Organism: Magnolia sinica
Lineage: Eukaryota; Viridiplantae; Streptophyta; Magnoliopsida; Magnoliales; Magnoliaceae
Exons: 3
Source: RefSeq, a predicted model, not a curated record
CCAUCCAAACCAUCUAAAGGCAUUAAAUCCAAAUGUCGGCCACCCGAUUCUUUUUUAUCUUCUUCAUUUGACCAAGCAACUCACUAGCUAAUGUAGCAGCCCAUUCGCUGAUCAGAGCCACUCGUUUGGUGGGCCAGUAACCCAAAAAGCUAUCCCUUGUUGCUGAUCAGAGCCAUGUAAACAGGGUUCUGGUAGCCGUUAAUGAUCAACCCAUUUAGUUCGUUGUCGAAUGUAACUAAUCCCGCAAUUAGUUGCAUUUGAAAACUCUAGAAUGAUUUUAGGAGGGGCUAUAUAAGCUACAUUUUAGGGAAGCUCAUUCUUGAAAUAGAAAGGAAAAUCAGAAGGAGAGGGAGUGAGUUUUACGCCGCUGCUAGUGUCGCACUGGGUCAGGUCGACUCAGUUCGAGUCGAGCGCUGGGGAUAAGUCCAGACUUCUUCUGGUCUGGAAGUGUGUGGAAAAGAGAAGAAAGAAGAAGAUGAGUCAAGAAAGAAAGAUCAGAAGUAAGAGAGGGCUCAAGAUCGGGUUCGAGUUAGUGCCUCACCGAGUUGGGCCGGAUCUUGGGUUGAGUUGAUCAUGGCUGGAUUGAGUUCCGACUCAGUCUGGGUCUUCCCUGAGUAAAAGGAGAGAGUAUUAUGUGGGCUGUGAUAAAGCUAUUGGAAGCGAUCAAGGUCGGGGAGUGACUCGCUGGUUCGAGUUGUUGCUAAGUCAAGAAGAUUCUACUUAAGAUUGAAUCAGGUCAAGUUUUGGUCCAGAAACCUUGCUGGACAGAAGAGAAGAAGAUGAAAGAAUGGAAGAGGAAUGGAGAAAGAUAGAAGAGGGGAAGAGGAUCAUGUGGCCUUACCAAGUUGACUCAGAGACUCAGCAACUCACCACAUCCAUAUUUGAGUUGGACUCCACUUUGGGGCGGUGUUGUUGGUCGAGUUAGUCCAGUAACAUCUUGGGUUUGCUUGGGGACAGAUUCUGGCAGAUGCUCGAGUCAACACGGGUUGAGUUUAGUGGAGCUUAAAUUGAGUCAACUCGGUAAUAACUGAAUCUGCCGUAUGAUGUGUUGUCCUGUCCAGCAAAUCGGAGUCGGUCAUGUUUAGUAUCAGGGAAAUAUUGUUUUCCACUCACUAUUUGAGCCUGGUUUCAAAGUUGAGUCGCCCAGUCAACAAUCGAGUUUGGUAGCCCAAGGAAGGCAUCUGUACUCAAUGGCUUGAAAUCGAAAGUGAAAUCACUCAAGGGAGACUGGUCCCAAGGCGAGAGGUGGUCCAUCUUGUGUAGAGACGUCCUUGAUGGGCCGAAUGCAUGAUAAUCUCUCAUUCUAAUGCAGUUGCUUGACUGCUUGGCAGCUGCAUUGGCACAUUCAACAUAUGGGUACUCCAAGGUCACAAGCUCCAACAAGCACAUGCCAAAAGCAUAUAUAUCUACCAACUCAUUGUAUUCUUCCUCAUAAAGCUCUGGUGCCAUGAACUCCGGAGUCCCU